Molecule: long non-coding RNA, 135 nt
Organism: Myotis brandtii (Brandt's bat)
Lineage: Eukaryota; Metazoa; Chordata; Mammalia; Chiroptera; Vespertilionidae
Exons: 4
Source: RefSeq, a predicted model, not a curated record
UCAGCCAGAAGCUGGACUCACGGCUGGCGAGGACAGCAGCAGUGGCGGGAGCCUCUCCCGACUCUGUGGCAGCAUUAAGGACCCCUUGGGUGUCCUGGACUGUGAGAGGGCACAGGCCGGACUGAGGGACCCCCC